This is a non-coding RNA of Ceratotherium simum simum (southern white rhinoceros), 305 nucleotides long. The record is from RefSeq and is a predicted model, not a curated record. NCBI's taxonomy places the organism in Eukaryota, Metazoa, Chordata, Mammalia, Perissodactyla, Rhinocerotidae.
GACUUCUGAAGUCCUUCCUCUAGUCACCUCCCAAGCAAGAGUCCCCGGAGGUCACACUGUUGAGACGGUGCGUGCCUGAAGAUGGCUGUCACCUCCCCAUAUGUCAUCUAGUCACUGUCCUUGGGAGGCCACAGCAUUCUGAGGACUGAUCCUAGGCAUGCGAUGGGGCUUUGCUUGAAGCUUUAGGGUCAUGUCUCCAUCCCUGGGGUCUCUGGCUGUGCUGGGGGCACUAGGGUCUUUUCAGGCCGGAAACUCGGUCCUUCGCUCCGAGCAAUUUUCUCCUGUUCCUGGAUAACUCCGCUCCC